This 100-nucleotide ribosomal RNA is filed under the name Vibrio splendidus. RNAcentral's name for it is "partial 16S ribosomal RNA". The stretch from base 1 to 89 matches the Rfam family "Bacterial small subunit ribosomal RNA", at positions 1445 to 1533 of the family's 1533-position model. The record is from RNAcentral. Lineage: Bacteria; Pseudomonadati; Pseudomonadota; Gammaproteobacteria; Vibrionales; Vibrionaceae. RNAcentral also lists the same sequence under 1 other name.
GGAGGACGCUCACCACUUUGUGGUUCAUGACUGGGGUGAAGUCGUAACAAGGUAGCCCUAGGGGAACCUGGGGCUGGAUCACCUCCUUAUACGAAGAUAC